GUUGCAGUACCUAACGUUUCAUACACCGAGUGUUUUAUUAACAAUACAUAAACAAUGUGUUAUGAAUAAAAACAAACAAUGGAGUGGUACGCGUGGGAAUAUCCGGUUCACAGUUAGUAUAGCGCAUCACCCCAUGGGGAGCAAUUGGAACAAAGAUUCAACAGGUGCACUUGCAGCUGCUUCCGAAGCCUAAAUAGCUUAAGGGAAAUCUUAGAAAGCCAUCCGGCAUUUCUGGAAGGAUGUGGUUCUUUGUAAGGAUGGUAAGGUUUUCGGUUAAAAAAAAAACUUGACGAGUAGCCGCAUUUAUAUCCGCUUUAUACCUUGAGGUGACAAUAAAUUAAUUUUAUUACU
Melitaea cinxia (Glanville fritillary) is the source of this 351-nucleotide long non-coding RNA. RefSeq lists it as uncharacterized. The record is from RefSeq and is a predicted model, not a curated record. NCBI's taxonomy places the organism in Eukaryota, Metazoa, Arthropoda, Insecta, Lepidoptera, Nymphalidae. The transcript has 2 exons.